RNAcentral lists this long non-coding RNA (236 nucleotides) under Phoenix dactylifera (date palm). Its description in RNAcentral is "long non-coding RNA (PDAC_LNC003518)". Lineage: Eukaryota; Viridiplantae; Streptophyta; Magnoliopsida; Arecales; Arecaceae. The record is from RNAcentral.
UUUGUCUAUAUAUACAAGAGUUUGAAAUAAUCAAUAGCUACAAUUAAGGACUACUGAAAAAAAGGAACAAAAGAAAGAAAGAGCUAAAUAAGGAAAACAACUAGUCCUUGCUUGCUGCUAGCUUGUCAUACGUUAAGAAAUAAUCAAUGGCUGCAAGGAAGGACCAAAGAAAGGAAGGAGCAAAAGAAAGAAAGAGUUAAAUAAGAAAAAUAGCUAAUCCUUGCUUGCUGCUGGCC